AGAGUUUGAUCAUGGCUCAGAUUGAACGCUGGCGGCAGGCCUAACACAUGCAAGUCGAGCGGUAGAGAGAAGCUUGCUUCUCUUGAGAGCGGCGGACGGGUGAGUAAUGCCUAGGAAUCUGCCUGGUAGUGGGGGAUAACGUUCGGAAACGGACGCUAAUACCGCAUACGUCCUACGGGAGAAAGCAGGGGACCUUCGGGCCUUGCGCUAUCAGAUGAGCCUAGGUCGGAUUAGCUAGUUGGUGAGGUAAUGGCCCACCAAGGCGACGAUCCGUAACUGGUCUGAGAGGAUGAUCAGUCACACUGGAACUGAGACACGGUCCAGACUCCUACGGGAGGCAGCAGUGGGGAAUAUUGGACAAUGGGCGAAAGCCUGAUCCAGCCAUGCCGCGUGUGUGAAGAAGGUCUUCGGAUUGUAAAGCACUUUAAGUUGGGAGGAAGGGCAGUUACCUAAUACGUGAUUGUUUUGACGUUACCGACAGAAUAAGCAACGGCUAACUCUGUGCCAGCAGCCGCGGUAAU
Molecule: ribosomal RNA, 521 nt
Filed under: uncultured Gammaproteobacteria bacterium
Lineage: Bacteria; Pseudomonadati; Pseudomonadota; Gammaproteobacteria
Description: bacterial SSU rRNA
Rfam family: Bacterial small subunit ribosomal RNA
Source: RNAcentral